Chinchilla lanigera (long-tailed chinchilla) is the source of this 288-nucleotide long non-coding RNA. RefSeq lists it as uncharacterized. The transcript is spliced from 2 exons. The record is from RefSeq and is a predicted model, not a curated record. NCBI's taxonomy places the organism in Eukaryota, Metazoa, Chordata, Mammalia, Rodentia, Chinchillidae.
UGAAGAAGCACUGUGCAGGGGCAGAGGCAGCUCACAGUCCUGUCUUGAACCCGCUCAGACACAGUGUGAAGAUGCCUCAAAAGGAAUGCGGAAGGAAGGUGAGCACUUUGAAAACCUCAGACCUCCAAGGAGGACACACUUUGAAGAGGGGCUGCCUUCCUCGGGAGAACACUUUGAAAGCCAGUGACCUCCUCAGAUGAAGUUCAAAAGCAGAAAAAGAUCCUGGUAAUCAUGAUACUGGAUGAAAGAAGAAAAAAGUAGUUAAUGAAAAUAAAAUUGGUGCAGCUA